This is a long non-coding RNA of Musa acuminata AAA Group (dessert banana), 563 nucleotides long. RefSeq lists it as uncharacterized. The record is from RefSeq and is a predicted model, not a curated record. The transcript has 2 exons. Lineage: Eukaryota; Viridiplantae; Streptophyta; Magnoliopsida; Zingiberales; Musaceae.
CUCUUCUCGUUCCGUUAUGCAAGGUAGAAGAAGAAGCAACCUGAGCUCUCUGCGAUGGGAGGGGACGGAGGCUGUUCUCCUCCAUCAUCGCCUGUCUGCAGCAUGUGCGGCGACCGCGGCCUGCCGGAGGAGCUCUUUCGAUGCAAAACCUGCCAUGUUAGGUUUCAACACAAAUACUGCAGCAAUCUCUACCCCAAGGCUGAGGCUUAUCGCGCAUGUAACUGGUGCUUAAGAGACGUAGCGGCCGGCAAGCCCGUUGCUCCAGAGAACUGCACAGCUCAGAACACCUCCUUCUCUUCCUCCUCUAAUGGUGAUGUCGUCGGAUCAGCUACAGCAGUGAAGCUACGACGCUGCUCUUCAGUAUUGAAUCUCGACAAGCCCAUCAAAAGACAAAGGCUGCCUGAGAGGCCAUACGAAGCACGGUCACAAGCGAAGCAAGUCUUCAGAGGUAAAGUUAGGAGGUAUAAGUUGCUGGAAGAUGUCUCUAGCUGAGUAUGUGCUUCAGACGCACUCACUGCAGGGUUUUCCUGCAUGUAUCUUCUUAAUAAGAUACCAUGUUUUCA